Molecule: long non-coding RNA, 2595 nt
Organism: Rosa chinensis
Lineage: Eukaryota; Viridiplantae; Streptophyta; Magnoliopsida; Rosales; Rosaceae
Exons: 7
Source: RefSeq, a predicted model, not a curated record
GUCGAGAUCCCGACCUCGAUCUAAAAUUGAAGUAACAGCUCUGAAUCCUGAGCUCGGCCUCGAUCUGAGAUUGGCAGAGUUGAAGAAAUUAAAGAAGAAUGGUUCUUUCCUCUCAAGCCCCACCGAAGUCGGGGUUGGAGCCCUAAACCCGAACACAGCAACCCAGCUGCACUCAACUGCACCGUUUCUGACUCUCUCCAUGACUCCGUGUCUUCGUCUCCGCCGUUUCUGACUCUCCGUCUCCGCCUCUCCGGUCUCCCAUCUCCGAGUCUCCGUCUCCGAGCUCCAGAUUGGACGGUCUGGAGGUUGAAAUGUUUUUCUUGGCGAUUUGGUGAUUGAGGAUUUGGCAAGCAUGGCAGAAGUACAUUGAUAUUGUUAGUGAGCUAUAUCGAUCCUACUUGGACUGAUGGUUUGAUUGUGAAGAGCAAAGGUGGAGAUGGUAGCUCGAUUGGUAAUGAUUCAAAAAGAUCAAUGGGACCGGUUUUCAGCACUUCUGUUUAUGAGGAGGGAUCUGAAAAUGAUUUGUAAGCUUCUUCACUACUGCUAACUAUGGGAGGUUUGAUAUAUUAGGAGUUCAUUGUUAUAUCUACAUGGUUUUUGAUGCUUUAAGUUCUGCUGAAACUGUCAUAAUCAUGUUCAGCAUUUUUUGUAUGCUUGAGUUAGCUUUUUUGUUGUUUAAUUUAUCAGCUCAGUUUGCGAACUAGAAGUGGAGAUUACUUGUAUCUUGGAAUAGUGAUUGUGGUGGUCUUGUGUCUUGUCUGUGAACACUAUAAGUUGCACAAUUGGAAGGCUGAUUGAGUACUUGGUACUAAUUAUGUGAAGUUUUAUACACGAUCUGACCUUGCUCUUUGUGUAUAAAAAAAGAUUCACGUACAAUGUAAAUUUGAACUUGCUAUGCUAUGUCUAAUGUGAAUUUAGUUCAACUUCUAUUGUUCAUAAUACUCCAACUCCUGAAGAGGUAUAUUCGACAUUUGUUCUAUCCUCCUUUUUAUUAUGUCCAAAAAUAUGUGGAGGAGAUGGACUACAAUCAUUUCUGACUACUUUUGGAACUGCUACGGUUCUUAUGGAAGACAAUGGUGAAGAAUUUGGUCAUCUUGGGAGGAACAGACCUUCACUGAGGUUGCAAGAAUAGAGGCAUGGAAUCAGAUUUCUUGCAUUUUAAACAUACAGUGUUCUCUAACUAGCUGAACAGAAAAUAAUUAUAAGCUGGAAGUCUUCGAGCAAGCAAGAUUGGUAAAUGAGAAGAAACUUGAUUUGGGACCAAGUUUGUGGUACUCAACAAGAGAAGAUCAGCAAAUACUGAACCCCUUGCAUUCAAAUCCAAACAUCAGUAACUACAGUUGCACUAUGCAUACUGUGCAGUAGACGACAGAUAUCUUCAAAUAAUUUCAGAAGGCUGAGGGAUGAUGAGUGCAGUUUAUGUGAAUUUGUGCCUCUUUUGGGGAACAUGGUGUCCGUUGAAUCACUGCAGUUAUGUUUUGUCAUGAAAACCAAAGAGUACUCCAGAAGGAUUAAUGAUAUAUUGUGAAGAUCAAGUAAGGUUUCUCAAGGGGUGUGCACUAAGAGAUGUGCGUAGACAGACCUGAAUCAUCAUCUGUUAGUUGCCUAGCUUGUCGAAGAGGAAGGUUGGGGAGCCCAAUAAGGAGGAAAAUGUAACUCUUGGACCUGAGGUGGAGAGAACUUUUUUGGAGUUGAUACUCAUAUUUAUGCAUCCACUCUUUGAGUGAUCCCUUCAUUUUUGUGAUGGACUUGCAAAUGCUACCAAGCAUGCUUGCAGCACAGUAUGUAUCUACAUGGUGCAAGAUGCUUGCAUAUAGAGCUCAGGGCUGCUAGUCCAGGUGCUGAAUCAGCAAUGCGAGCACUUGAUCUUGCUGACAUGCCCAAUUUCCACCAACUGUAGCCACUGAAAGCUUGGCGGGCACUCUGGGACAUAUAUAGAAGGUUGACAUUUCUCAAAUGUGAGGUUUCAGAUGUUGCUCUCAUUUCUCGUACAUUUGGGUUUGGUUGGAGGUGAAACCAAUUCUGUCUCAAAGUUGCAAAGACAGGCAAGGCCCAGACUGGUCCAAGAUUUCUCACAUCCCAAACAUCAAAAUUGAUCGCAAAAUUGUACAAAAAGAUGGAGUCUGGAUUUGAUCGCCCAUCUGAUUUCUUGGGCACAGAAGAAAUUGAUUGCAAUGAAACAGUGGAACUGCAGAAAUGAUCCAAAAGUCUCAUUUGAGUUCUCGUUCAAGACUUUCGUGUCAUGCUGACCUCAGUAUAGUAUGGCAGAUUGAAGACUUUGUGCAACUCCGUUUAAUGUGUUUGGGAAUUUCAUAUUCUCACCCAGUCAUAUCACCCUCCAGGAUAUCAUCACUCCUCUUCUUUUUUAUACCGCAGCUCCUUAAAAGCGGCUCCAGAUUUUCAAGGAAUAUUGGAAAGGUGGAAGCCUGGAAUCUCAUUGGAUGUGACCUCUUUGCUGUAGGCCAAAUUGAGGUCUCUUUCUUGUCACUCAGUUCAUUAUGUUUAGGAUUUGACAUCCUUAAUUAAGAAACUUCGACUCAAUUCGUCAAUCACUUCUAUUGUUCGUAAUACUCUAGCUUCUGGAGAGGUAUAUUU